GGGGCUGUUUUUGGACUUGACAAAAUUAUUGAAAACUAAAGUGCAUGCCGAGGUACGGUUUGCCUCGUUAAAAACCGUAAAAUAUAGUAGCAAAACAACACAACUAUGCUUUAGCAGCUUAAUAACCUGUAUUAAAGCCCUCUUUUUAUUUUUCUCUUGAAAUAAAAUAUAUAGAGGUCAUAAAAGAGAUCGCAAAUUUUAUUUUUGCUUAUAAAUUAAGUUUGUUAAAAUAUAAUAAGCAUACAUCUAUUACGAGUCUAUACGUUUAUAGAAAUUUAAAUUCCCAAAAUAGACUAAGCAUGUAGCGCUAAAGUGGUAAAAAUUUUGGACGCGGGUUCGAAUCCCGCCAGCUCCAUAA
Molecule: transfer-messenger RNA, 358 nt
Filed under: Enterobacteriaceae (enterobacteria)
Lineage: Bacteria; Pseudomonadati; Pseudomonadota; Gammaproteobacteria; Enterobacterales
Also listed under: 1 other name
Description: Buchnera aphidicola_N Standard tmRNA
Rfam family: transfer-messenger RNA
About the family: Bacterial tmRNA, also known as 10Sa RNA or SsrA, is named for its dual tRNA and mRNA-like properties. Its role is to liberate the mRNA from a stalled ribosome. To accomplish this part of the tmRNA is used as a reading frame that ends in a translation stop signal.
Source: RNAcentral